CCUACGGGAGGCAGCAGUGGGGAAUAUUGGACAAUGGGGGCAACCCUGAUCCAGCCAUGCCGCGUGUGUGAAGAAGGCCCUCGGGUUGUAAAGCACUUUCAGUGAGGAAGAACGCCUGGUGGUUAAUACCCAUCAGGAAAGACAUCACUCACAGAAGAAGCACCGGCUAACUCCGUGCCAGCAGCCGCGGUAAUACGGAGGGUGCGAGCGUUAAUCGGAAUUACUGGGCGUAAAGCGCGCGUAGGUGGCUUGAUAAGCCGGUUGUGAAAGCCCCGGGCUCAACCUGGGAACGGCAUCCGGAACUGUCAAGCUAGAGUGCAGGAGAGGAAGGUAGAAUUCCCGGUGUAGCGGUGAAAUGCGUAGAGAUCGGGAGGAAUACCAGUGGCGAAGGCGGCCUUCUGGACUGAAACUGACACUGAGGUACGAAAGCGUGGGUAGCAAACAGGAUUAGAUACCCCUGUAGUC
This 465-nucleotide ribosomal RNA is filed under the name Vreelandella stevensii. RNAcentral describes it as "partial 16S ribosomal RNA". It matches the Rfam family "Bacterial small subunit ribosomal RNA", at positions 338 to 795 of the family's 1533-position model. The record is from RNAcentral. Lineage: Bacteria; Pseudomonadati; Pseudomonadota; Gammaproteobacteria; Oceanospirillales; Halomonadaceae.